GUUAAUUAAAUAUCACCAGCUACCUAACUUAAUUUUAGCUAGGUGUCUUGAUGUAUUUAUCAUUGUAAAAACAAACUCCAAAUGCAUUUGUAGGUAGCUAGGUAACAGCCAUUGAGAAGGGUGAAAGGACAGCAGCCCCAAUUGUCAAAGUGAGAGAGUAGGCUAUUCUGGAUAGGGCAGGUACUUUUGUGUAGUUCCAGUCCCUAGAAGUGAGAACAGAGAUAUAGUAACAUAAUAUUCAGUGUUGUCUAAUUUGAGUAAAAUGAAGUCUGUUUAUUGCAAUGUUUUAUGUCCUCAGAUACAGAGAGCUUUGAAAGCCUGUCUGCAGAUGAAGAGGUCCCAAUGAAGAGCAGUGGUUCUCAGUCCUGGUCCUGGGGACUUAGAGGGGUGCACAUUUUAGUUUUUAGCUUAGCACUACAGAGCGGAUUCAAAUGAUCAACUCAUCAUCAAGCUUCAAGUGAUACCUUGCAACUGGAGAUUCCUUCAAAACGAUUUGGUUACCAGGGCCAUCUGGGACUGCCUACCUGUGUCCUGCAGAACUUCAUGAGGAUGUAGAUGAGGACCAGGAGGGGAUCUGCAGGAUUUUUCAAGGAUGGGCGCUAACAACGCAGCACAGGAGGCAAUCCGUGUGCGGGAGAUCUUCACCUCCUACUUCUUCGAUGAGGGUGCUGUUCCUUGGCAACACCAAAGACUAGACUAUGCACAACCAAAGACUCUUAAGAGCCAUCCACAUUGCAAUAAGUGUAUUCUUCCAUUUACUUCGCUAUGCCAACUGCAUUUAUUCAAUUCACAGUUUAGGUAAGGGUAAUGUCUGUACAAAAAUAGAACAGGCUCCUUUAAGAGUCACCCAUAUUGAAAUAGAAGAACAAUUAGACACUCUAUAACCCCCAGCUACACACUCGUGUAUCAAUCUGAUUGAUGGAUUGUGUUGUGCAGUAAGUAGGCUCAGGUGUAUAACUGUGGCUCCUUCCACCUUCAAAGAACAGGCAAGAGGGCCAACCAUGGAGAAUAGUAAGACAUGGUCAUUAUUUCUAUUUAUGUAGAAAAUAACGUAGAAAACAAUAUAUUGUUUGUCAUCGUGUGUCUGUAUGUUUUUCAGUAUAAAGUACUUUUCAGCCACUUAGUGUGGACAACGGGUGAGACGACACACAGAUUCCUGUUGAAUACUGUCUCUUCAACUACCUUAUUUUCUCAAUAACCGUCUCUCUCCUUCACUUCCUCCCUCUUCCCCCCUUCUGCCUAAAUCCUCUAGGUUAUAUCAGCUGUGUCGGUGAACCCCUACCGCAUCUGAACUGGCUACAUAGAGGGCACAGUAUGAUCAGAGGUAUGUCUUGAUGUGAGAGAGGAUGCCAACCCCCAGUCCCAUCAUCGCCACCUCACCCGCUCGGGCCAACUGGGGAGACACCACGGGAGACACUAUUAUACAAUUGUGAUGAACUGAGAGAAUAUUACAUUUAGUCGCACUGUAAUUCAUGAAUCAUAUGCUGUCAUCCCUGCUCCUCUUUUCCUUUCUGUCUUCUACACUUUUUCUCACACCUCUCUCCUCAUCUCCUCUUUAUUCCUCUGUGUUUAUCAUGCACACCAGAUGUGCAUUGAACAACAGAUUGAACUUCUAUUUAUAAUAUAAGAUUACAAUUAUAAUGUUUAUAAUGCAUGUAUUAUGUAUUUAUAACACUUGGAUAACUUCUUUCAAUAAA
Long non-coding RNA from Oncorhynchus tshawytscha (Chinook salmon), 1697 nucleotides. RefSeq lists it as uncharacterized. The transcript has 3 exons. The record is from RefSeq and is a predicted model, not a curated record. NCBI's taxonomy places the organism in Eukaryota, Metazoa, Chordata, Actinopteri, Salmoniformes, Salmonidae.